Molecule: ribosomal RNA, 253 nt
Filed under: uncultured bacterium
Lineage: Bacteria
Description: partial 16S ribosomal RNA
Rfam family: Bacterial small subunit ribosomal RNA
Source: RNAcentral
CACGUAGGGCGCGAGCGUUGUCCUGAAUUAUUGGGCGUAAAGAGCUCGUAGGCGGCCUGUUGCGUCCGCUGUGAAAGCCCGGGGCUUAACCCCGGGUCGGCAGUGGAUACGGGCAGGCUAGAGGUAGGUAGGGGAGAAUGGAAUUCCCGGUGUAGCGGUGAAAUGCGCAGAUAUCGGGAGGAACACCGGUGGCGAAGGCGGUUCUCUGGGCCUUACCUGACGCUGAGGAGCGAAAGCGUGGGGAGCGAACAGG